UCCUACGGGACGCAGCAGUGGGGAAUAUUGCACAAUGGGGGAAACCCUGAUGCAGCGACGCCGCGUGAGUGAAGAAGUAUCUCGGUACGUAAAGCUCUAUCAGCAGGGAAGAAAAAAAGUCUUUGGCUUUGGACGGUACCUGACUAAGAAGCCCCGGCUAACUACGUGCCAGCAGCCGCGGUAAUACGUAGGGGGCAAGCGUUAUCCGGAUUUACUGGGUGUAAAGGGAGCGUAGACGGCAGCGCAAGUCUGGAGUGAAAUGCCGGGGCUCAACCCCGGAACUGCUUUGGAAACUGUGCAGCUAG
This 305-nucleotide ribosomal RNA is filed under the name uncultured bacterium. Its description in RNAcentral is "bacterial SSU rRNA". It matches the Rfam family "Bacterial small subunit ribosomal RNA", at positions 337 to 644 of the family's 1533-position model. The record is from RNAcentral.